This 316-nucleotide ribosomal RNA is filed under the name uncultured bacterium. RNAcentral describes it as "bacterial SSU rRNA". It matches the Rfam family "Bacterial small subunit ribosomal RNA", at positions 542 to 860 of the family's 1533-position model. The record is from RNAcentral.
UAUCCGGAUUUAUUGGGUUUAAAGGGAGCGUAGGCGGACGCUUAAGUCAGUUGUGAAAGUUUGUGGCUCAACCGUAAAAUUGCAGUUGAUACUGGGUGUCUUGAGUACAGUAGAGGCAGGCGGAAUUCGUGGUGUAGCGGUGAAAUGCUUAGAUAUCACGAAGAACUCCGAUUGCGAAGGCAGCUUGCUGGACUGUAACUGACGCUGAUGCUCGAAUGUGUGGGUAUCAAACAGGAUUAGAUACCCUGGUAGUCCACACAGUAAACGAUGAAUACUCGCUGUUUGCGAUAUACAGUAAGCGGCCAAGCGAAAGCGU